Long non-coding RNA from Balaenoptera musculus (blue whale), 1754 nucleotides. RefSeq lists it as uncharacterized. NCBI's taxonomy places the organism in Eukaryota, Metazoa, Chordata, Mammalia, Artiodactyla, Balaenopteridae. The transcript is spliced from 3 exons. The record is from RefSeq and is a predicted model, not a curated record.
GAGGAGCACGGAGAAGCCAACUUGCUGAGCAGUGGAGCCCUGACGUGGACGAGGAAAUUCAGCCUGGAUUAUUUAGCCCUGGACUUCAACUCAGCGUCACCAGCCCCUGUGCAGCAGAAACUCCUCUUCUCAGAGGAGCAGAGAGUAGACUACGUGCAAGUGGACGAGCAGAAGACGCAAGCUCUGCAGAGCACAAAGCAGGAGUGGACGGACGAGAGGCAGUCCAAAGCGUGACGGCGCUGGGCUGCGGGCAGGGGCUCUGAGGGGGGCCGGCCCUCGUCAGCGGCCGCGCUCGCCCCUGCCGAGCCUCAGGCCGGUGCGCCGGGACGUAGACAGCUCCAUCCCGGCAGGGUGGGAGCCACCAAAGCAAAAGAGGCGUCAGAAAUCUUCUCCAGUGGAGCCUUUGACGUGCAGAUUGGAGCCAACGGGAUGACAUCUUUUGACUCCAGCGCCUGAAGUCUCGACCUCUGUCCUGUGCUUCCGCUGGAAUCAUGAAUGAUCCGAGGAGAGACGCGCCUGGACACCAUCUCGUCCCCACCCCUGAGGACACAGUGCAAGACACCAAGCCUAGGGAUGGUGGCAGGAAGACAAUGCCAGUGACAGGAGCAUUGAGUCCCGAGGUCCGGCAUGAGCAUAUCAGAUGACCCCCGGUGGCUCUAGGGACAUCGUUGUGCUUAAGCAGCUGCCUGUGGCCGGGUGUCCCUUUGCUGUUGGCCUUUUCCCGGCAUGCUUUCACACGCACCGUCUCAUCUCUUCCCCUCAAAGACCUCGGAAGCUAGGCUUGGCGGCGAUCACUGCUCCCACGUCGAGGAAAACAAUACCAAGAACCAGAGAAGGGAACGCUUGGCCCAGGAUGACUCAUGGAGUGAGACAGCGAGUCCGGCUCCUUCCGCCGUCUAAUGCUGCCUCAGUCACUUAGGGUAACUUCGGAGACGCGUGGGAGACACGUGCAGACACGGGAUGACUCAUCAUCUCCUCUCCCUUUCAUAGGAUUUUGAGCAGGUGCUUUUCCACUUGAAAGAAAUGAUCCCAGAUACCACUCCAAGUCAAGUACACAUGGCAUGUCUGUACACUGCGCAGAGUACACCUUUCUAGAAGAUCUGGGAAUCAACAGGACAGUGCAGCCAUUAAUCUCGCAUUAUUUUCUGUAGCUCCUUUUUGCUCCGUUUCCUUCCGUCUCCUUUCAUUAGGAAAUACUUCCAGAUCAGGGGUUUUGUCAUGCAGAAAGGGGGACCGAAGGGUCUCAAGCCUAAGUCCACAGGCCCAGGAACGUUGGGAGUUAAGCUUUCCUCGCGGAGGGAGGAGCCCUGAGGCCCAGCACACAGCCUGGCUACAAGCGCAUGGUGUGACCCUGGGGACUCAGUGUCCAGGCCACUUCGCCACGCAGCAAACAGCAGCUGAGUCGUGGCCGUUGGGUCCGGGUCGAGACUGAUGGCUCCCCUUAGGCCUGGCCUCCCCCCUCUCAAGGCCUCCUCCUCGGGCCCCGUUCAAACCACCUUUGUAUCCACAACCGUGCAGAUGUUUAACAAUUCACUACGCUUUUACUAUUUCAUGUCUGGCAUUAAUAAAAGUCUUAUAAGGAGAGGAAUCGUGACCUAAGUGCCCUCUUAUUUAAGUGACGACAUCUGAAAAACUACGGGACACAUUCUGAAACCUGAAUAAGUGGAAGUAGACUUCACUGCCAUUUUCAAGUACAACAGACUUCACCUGACUCCCAUGGCAUGACCUGCAUCCAUGUUACUUCGCUGCAAACG